AGUGGUCGUCGCCUUUUAUUGGGCCUAAAACGUCCGUAGCCUGUUUGGUAAAUCUGUGGGUAAAUCAACCAGCUUAACUGGUUGAAUUCUGCAGAGACUGCCAGACUAGGGACCGGGAGAGGUGUGGGGUACUCUAGGGGUAGGGGUAAAAUCCUGUCAUCCUUAGAGGACCACCAGUUGCGAAGGCGCCACACUAGAACGGAUCCGACGGUCAGGGACGAAGCCUAGGGGCACGAACCGGAUUAGAUACCCGGGUAGUCCUAGGUGUAAACGCUGUGAACUUGGUGUCGGGAGUCCGCAAUGGGCCCCCGGUGCCGGAGUGAAGAUGUUAAGUUCACUGCCUGGGAGUGGUCGUCGGCCUUUUAUUGGGCCUAAAACGUCCGUAGCCUGUUUGGUAAAUCUGUGGGUAAAUCAACCAGCUUAACUGGUUGAAUUCUGCAGAGACUGCCAGACUAGGGACCGGGAGAGGUGUGGGGUACUCUAGGGGUAGGGGUAAAAUCCUGUCAUCCUUAGAGGACCACCAGUUGCGAAGGCCGCCACACUAGAACGGAUCCGACGGUCAGGGACGAAGCCUAGGGGCACGAACCGGAUUAGAUACCCGGGUAGUCCUAGGUGUAAACGCUGUGAACUUGGUGUCGGGAGUCCGCAAUGGGCCCCCGGUGCCGGAGUGAAGAUGUUAAGUUCACUGCCUGGG
RNAcentral lists this ribosomal RNA (694 nucleotides) under uncultured euryarchaeote. Its description in RNAcentral is "bacterial SSU rRNA". The stretch from base 1 to 342 matches the Rfam family "Archaeal small subunit ribosomal RNA", at positions 487 to 828 of the family's 1478-position model. Lineage: Archaea; Methanobacteriati; Methanobacteriota. The record is from RNAcentral.